This 404-nucleotide ribosomal RNA is filed under the name Fusobacteriota bacterium. RNAcentral's name for it is "Fusobacteria bacterium partial 16S ribosomal RNA". It matches the Rfam family "Bacterial small subunit ribosomal RNA", at positions 355 to 776 of the family's 1533-position model. Lineage: Bacteria; Fusobacteriati; Fusobacteriota. The record is from RNAcentral.
UGGGGAAUAUUGCACAAUGGAGGGAACUCUGAUGCAGCGACGCCGCGUGAGUGAUGAAGGACUUCGUUUCGUAAAACUCUGUUCUAUGGGAAGAAAAGGACUGUACCAUAGGAGAAAGCUCCGGCUAAAUACGUGCCAGCAGCCGCGGUAAUACGUAUGGAGCGAGCGUUGUCCGGAAUUAUUGGGCGUAAAGGGUGCGCAGGCGGCUUUACAAGUUGGAUGUGAAAUAUUGUGGCUCAACCACAAACGUGCAUCCAAAACUGCAAAGCUUGAGUUAAGGAGAGGUAAGUGGAAUUCCUGGUGUAGCGGUGGAAUGCGUAGAUAUCAGGAGGAAUACCGGUGGCGAAGGCGACUUACUGGACUUAAACUGACGCUCAGGCACGAAAGCGUGGGGAGCUAACAGG